UACGUAGGAGGCAAGCGUUGUCCGGAAUUACUGGGCGUAAAGCGCGUGUAGGUGGUGGGACAAGUCUGCUGUGAAAGCGCCUGGCUUAACCGGGCGAGGUCGGCGGAAACUGUCCGACUCGAGUCCGGAAGAGGUGAGUGGAACUGCGAGUGUAGAGGUGAAAUUCGUAGAUAUUCGCAAGAACACCAGUGGCGAAGGCGGCUCACUGGUCCGGUACUGACGCUGAGGUGCGAAAGCGUGGGGAGCAAACAGG
Molecule: ribosomal RNA, 253 nt
Filed under: uncultured bacterium
Lineage: Bacteria
Description: partial 16S ribosomal RNA
Rfam family: Bacterial small subunit ribosomal RNA
Source: RNAcentral